GAUACCCUGCUGUGUGCGUGAUGCUGCAUCACCGGUUUUGAGCCAACACCCAAAAAACGGGAUUGCUCCUGCCAGGAAUGAUGCGAUAGGCUUUGGCCAAGGCAGAAUGACUGCAAACAAUCCCACCCUGCAUUUUGCAGGUUCAAAACUACGCAGCACACGGCACGGCGGGGACUUU
RNAcentral lists this non-coding RNA (178 nucleotides) under Anaerolineaceae bacterium. Its description in RNAcentral is "6S RNA". It matches the Rfam family "6S / SsrS RNA". Rfam says of the family: E. coli 6S RNA was the first non coding RNA to be sequenced, but its function was unknown until recently. It consists of 184 nucleotides that fold into an extended hairpin structure with a large single-stranded internal bulge. Lineage: Bacteria; Bacillati; Chloroflexota; Anaerolineae; Anaerolineales; Anaerolineaceae. The record is from RNAcentral.